UCGAAGCAACUGUAGCAGACUUGCUGUGCUGAUGUUGAAUAAGAUGGUCCGCCUCUGCCGGGGAUACGGUCUGAUGUGGCUUCGAACACAUGAAUGCAUAUGUUUGAAUUUUUUUAUGGCGUAAUGCUCCAUAUGGGAUGGAAAUGCUACGCAGUUUGAGGAUGCAAUGAUUACUAUAUGCAAUGCAAUAUGAUAAGAACUCUGCGGGAGAACUGCACAGGACGACUGUGUUGAGGAAUCUUCAAGACAAAUCCACUGGGAG
RNAcentral lists this long non-coding RNA (262 nucleotides) under Lathyrus oleraceus (garden pea). Its description in RNAcentral is "Pisum sativum (pea) long non-coding RNA (PSAT_LNC009314)". The record is from RNAcentral. Lineage: Eukaryota; Viridiplantae; Streptophyta; Magnoliopsida; Fabales; Fabaceae.